RNAcentral lists this ribosomal RNA (48 nucleotides) under Synechocystis aquatilis SAG 90.79. RNAcentral describes it as "partial 23S ribosomal RNA". Lineage: Bacteria; Bacillati; Cyanobacteriota; Cyanophyceae; Synechococcales; Merismopediaceae. The record is from RNAcentral.
AAGGUCAAGAAAAGAAGGGCCGAUGGUGGAUACCUAGGCACACAGAGG